RNAcentral lists this unclassified non-coding RNA (379 nucleotides) under uncultured Actinomycetes bacterium. RNAcentral describes it as "uncultured actinobacterium contains 16S-23S intergenic spacer region". The record is from RNAcentral. Lineage: Bacteria; Bacillati; Actinomycetota; Actinomycetes.
UCCGGUUUGGCACCGGCAGUCUCCCUAGAGUUCCCGGCAUUACCCGCUGGCAACUAGGAAAAGGGGUUGCGCUCGUUGCGCCACUUAAGGCAACACCUCACGGCACGAGCUGACGACAGCCAUGCAGCACCAGUGCGCCACCCUCGAAGGCGGCCACGUUUCCGUGGCAUGCAGGCGCAUGUCAAACCCAGGUAAGGUUCUUCGCGUUGCAUCGAAUUAAGCCACAUGCUCCGCCGCUUGUGCGGGUCCCCGUCAAUUCCUUUGAGUUUUAGCCUUGCGGCCGUACUCCCCAGGCGGAGUGCUUAAUGCGUUAGCUGCGGCACAGAGAGGGUUGAAGACCUCCCCACACCUAGCACUCAACGUUUACGGCUGGGACUAC